This 499-nucleotide small RNA is filed under the name Rattus norvegicus (Norway rat). RNAcentral describes it as "uncharacterized LOC102546868". The record is from RNAcentral. Lineage: Eukaryota; Metazoa; Chordata; Mammalia; Rodentia; Muridae.
ACUAUGAGGUGUAACAUUUAAGGUCUUUUUUCUACUUGCCAGGGACUGUAUCUCACUGAACAGUUUCUGAAACCCAAUCUUCAUGAGCUCUAACACAGAGAUUCAGCUUCCCAAGAGAGCUCAGAAGAUGGUCCCAGAGCAUCUGGGGUCUUCUAUGGUUCUAGAAACAGAAACCGUUGUCAGAAACCUGAAGAAGGUGCUAAAAGGAUCCGAGGAUUGGAGGAUGCUGCUGCUGGUGCCACCCCAGAUGCCCUGCAGAACUGAUGGGCACUUCGGCGUAUCACCCACUCACAUCCAACUUUUAACUCACCCUAAUGCAGAGGACAGUUUCCCCUUAUAUUAACCACUCAUUUAAAGCUGUCCUCAUGACAUUGUGUCUCUGUGUGUGCAUGUCAUGGGGUGUAGGGUAUGUUUGUAUGUCUAGAGGCCAAAGAUGACAUCAGAUUUGUUAACUCUGAGAAUUGUGAGGAGAAAGAUAAAACCCACAAUCAUUUAUUUA